AUCACAACCUUUCAAUGUUCCUCCAAGUAAAUCUUUUUUAAAUUGAACAGCAGAAAGAUAUAUAGAUUCAUAAGUUUGUGAACUUCCUGGAAAUUAUAAGGGUUAUAUUAAAGAACUAUUGGACAAUGAGACUGUGGAUAAAAUCAACAUGUAAAUAAUCAAAUCCAAGUUUUUCCUAAUAUACUAUAUAUGAUUUUCAAAUUAUGCCUGGACAAUACUGGGCAUACUUUGUUAGUAAUUUCAUAUAGUUGCAAAACCAUUGAAAAAUGUAGCAAGUACAUUACAGAUAUUCAUAUUAUCAGUAUAUGCUAUAUGCCAGAUUCAGUACCAGUCCCUAGUGAAAACAGCAGUGAAUUUUGUUUUAAAAUCAAUGGUAUACACAAUAAAUUUGAUAUAUCUUAACACAGUAAGUGGGGGGGAAUUAAUUUAAGCAAAUUAUAGUGGAUGAUUGAUUGAUGAUAUAGUUUCUUUAUUAAAGUGAAAAUUGUCUUUGCAAAAUAAAAAAAAAGGUACACAGAUUUACG
This 524-nucleotide long non-coding RNA is filed under the name Androctonus crassicauda. Lineage: Eukaryota; Metazoa; Arthropoda; Arachnida; Scorpiones; Buthidae. The record is from RNAcentral.